CUUACACAUGCAAGUCGAACGGCAGCGCGGGAGCAAUCCUGGCGGCGAGUGGCGAACGGGUGAGUAAUACAUCAGAACGUGCCCAAUCGUGGGGGAUAACGCAGCGAAAGCUGUGCUAAUACCGCAUACGAUCUACGGAUGAAAGCAGGGGAUCGCAAGACCUUGCGCGAAUGGAGCGGCCGAUGGCAGAUUAGGUAGUUGGUGAGGUAAAGGCUCACCAAGCCUUCGAUCUGUAGCUGGUCUGAGAGGACGACCAGCCACACUGGGACUGAGACACGGCCCAGACUCCUACGGGAGGCAGCAGUGGGGAAUUUUGGACAAUGGGCGAAAGCCUGAUCCAGCCAUGCCGCGUGCAGGAUGAAGGCCUUCGGGUUGUAAACUGCUUUUGUACGGAACGAAACGGCCUUUUCUAAUAAAGAGGGCUAAUGACGGUACCGUAAGAAUAAGCACCGGCUAACUACGUGCCAGCAGCCGCGGUAAUACGUAGGGUGCAAGCGUUAAUCGGAAUUACUGGGCGUAAAGCGUGCGCAGGCGGUUAUGUAAGACAGUUGUGAAAUCCCCGGGCUCAACCUGGGAACUGCAUCUGUGACUGCAUAGCUAGAGUACGGUAGAGGGGGAUGGAAUUCCGCGUGUAGCAGUGAAAUGCGUAGAUAUGCGGAGGAACACCGAUGGCGAAGGCAAUCCCCUGGACCUGUACUGACGCUCAUGCACG
RNAcentral lists this ribosomal RNA (712 nucleotides) under uncultured Variovorax sp. RNAcentral describes it as "bacterial SSU rRNA". It matches the Rfam family "Bacterial small subunit ribosomal RNA", at positions 48 to 755 of the family's 1533-position model. Lineage: Bacteria; Pseudomonadati; Pseudomonadota; Betaproteobacteria; Burkholderiales; Comamonadaceae. The record is from RNAcentral.